RNAcentral lists this ribosomal RNA (492 nucleotides) under uncultured bacterium. Its description in RNAcentral is "partial 16S ribosomal RNA". It matches the Rfam family "Bacterial small subunit ribosomal RNA", at positions 29 to 507 of the family's 1533-position model. The record is from RNAcentral.
AGUGAACGCUGGCGGCAGGCCUAACACAUGCAAGUCGAACGGCAGCACAGUAAGAGCUUGCUCUUACGGGUGGCGAGUGGCGGACGGGUGAGGAAUACAUCGGAAUCUACUCUUUCGUGGGGGAUAACGUAGGGAAACUUACGCUAAUACCGCAUACGACCUACGGGUGAAAGCAGGGGAGCUUCGGACCUUGCGCGACUGAAUGAGCCGAUGUCGGAUUAGCUAGUUGGCGGGGUAAAGGCCCACCAAGGCGACGAUCCGUAGCUGGUCUGAGAGGAUGAUCAGCCACACUGGAACUGAGACACGGUCCAGACUCCUACGGGAGGCAGCAGUGGGGAAUAUUGGACAAUGGGCGCAAGCCUGAUCCAGCCAUACCGCGUGGGUGAAGAAGGCCUUCGGGUUGUAAAGCCCUUUUGUUGGGAAAGAAAAGCAGCAGGUUAAUACCCCGCUGUUCUGACGGUACCCAAAGAAUAAGCACCGGCUAACUUCGUG